GAUGAACGCUGGCGGCGUGCCUAAUACAUGCAAGUCGAGCGAACGGACGAGAAGCUUGCUUCUCUGAUGUUAGCGGCGGACGGGUGAGUAACACGUGUAUAACCUACCUAUAAGACUGGGAUAACUUCGUGAAACCGUAGCUAAUACCGGAUAAUAUUUUGAACCGCAUGGUUCAAAAGUUAACGACGGUCUUGCUGUCACUUAUAGAUUGAUCCGCGCUGCAUUAGCUAGUUGGUAAGGUAACGGCUUACCAAGGCAACGAUGCAUAGCCGACCUGAGAGGGUGAUCGGCCACACUGGAACUGAGACACGGUCCAGACUCCUACGGGAGGCAGCAGUAGGGAAUCUUGCGCAAUGGGCGAAAGCCUGACGGAGCAACGCCGCGUGAGUGAUGAAGGUCUUCGGAUCGUAAAACUCUGUUAUUAGGGAAGAAAAUAUGUGUAAGAAAAUGUGCACAUCUUGACGGUACCUAAAGAGAAAGCAACGGCUAACUACGUG
This 497-nucleotide ribosomal RNA is filed under the name uncultured bacterium. RNAcentral's name for it is "partial 16S ribosomal RNA". It matches the Rfam family "Bacterial small subunit ribosomal RNA", at positions 28 to 507 of the family's 1533-position model. The record is from RNAcentral.